This 497-nucleotide ribosomal RNA is filed under the name uncultured bacterium. RNAcentral describes it as "partial 16S ribosomal RNA". It matches the Rfam family "Bacterial small subunit ribosomal RNA", at positions 28 to 507 of the family's 1533-position model. The record is from RNAcentral.
GAUGAACGCUGGCGGCGUGCCUAAUACAUGCAAGUCGAGCGAACAGACGAGGAGCUUGCUCCUCUGACGUUAGCGGCGGACGGGUGAGUAACACGUGGAUAACCUACCUAUAAGACUGGGAUAACUUUGGGAAACCGGAGCUAAUACCGGAUAAUAUAUUGAACCGCAUGGUUCAAUAGUGAAAGACGGUUUUGCUGUCACUUGUAGAUGGAUCCGCGCCGCAUUAGCUAGUUGGUAAGGUAACGGCUUACCAAGGCGACGAUGCGUAGCCGACCUGAGAGGGUGAUCGGCCACACUGGAACUGAGACACGGUCCAGACUCCUACGGGAGGCAGCAGUAGGGAAUCUUCCGCAAUGGGCGAAAGCCUGACGGAGCAACGCCGCGUGAGUGAUGAAGGUCUUCGGAUCGUAAAACUCUGUUAUUAGGGAAGAACAAAUGUGUAAGUAACUAUGCACGUCUUGACGGUACCUAAUCAGAAAGCCACGGCUAACUACGUG